This 441-nucleotide ribosomal RNA is filed under the name uncultured bacterium. RNAcentral describes it as "partial 16S ribosomal RNA". It matches the Rfam family "Bacterial small subunit ribosomal RNA", at positions 338 to 795 of the family's 1533-position model. The record is from RNAcentral.
CCUACGGGAGGCAGCAGUGGGGGAUAUUGCACAAUGGGGGAAACCCUGAUGCAGCGACGCCGCGUGGGUGAAGAAGUACUUUGGUAUGUUAAGCCCUAUUAGCAGGGAAGAAAGAAGACGGUACCUGACUAAGAAGCCUCGGCUAACUACGUGCCAGCAGCCGCGGUAAUACGUAGGGGGCGAGCGUUAUCCGGAUUCACUGGGUGUAAAGGGAGCGUAGACGGCCGUGCAAGCCAGGGGUGAAAGCCUGGGGCCCAACCCCGGGACUGCUGUUGGAACUGUGCGGCUGGAGUGCGGGAGGGGCAGGCGGAAUGCGUGGUGUAGCGGUGAAAUGCGUAGAUAUCAGGAGGAACACCGGCGGCGAAGGCAGCCUGCUGGACCGCGACUGACGUUGAGGCUCGAAAGCGUGGGGAGCGAACAGGAUUAGAUACCCUUGUAGUC